UGCACUCACUACUGUAAGUCGCUCUGGGUAAGAGCGUCUGCUAAAUGACUCAAU
Salmo salar (Atlantic salmon) is the source of this 54-nucleotide non-coding RNA. The record is from Rfam. Lineage: Eukaryota; Metazoa; Chordata; Actinopteri; Salmoniformes; Salmonidae.